This 253-nucleotide ribosomal RNA is filed under the name uncultured bacterium. RNAcentral describes it as "partial 16S ribosomal RNA". It matches the Rfam family "Bacterial small subunit ribosomal RNA", at positions 524 to 776 of the family's 1533-position model. The record is from RNAcentral.
UACGAAGGGGGCUAGCGUUGUUCGGAAUCACUGGGCGUAAAGCGCGCGUAGGCGGCUUAACAAGUCAGAGGUGAAAUGCCAAGGCUUAACCUUGGAACUGCCUUUGAAACUGUUAAGCUAGAGUAUUGGAGGGGAAUGGGGAAUUGCUAAUGUAGAGGUGAAAUUCGUAGAUAUUAGCAGGAACACCGGUGGCGAAGGCGGCCUUCUGGACAGUGACUGACGCUGAGACGCGAAAGCGUGGGGAGCAAACAGG